This 518-nucleotide ribosomal RNA is filed under the name Pseudomonas sp. Hugh2095. RNAcentral describes it as "bacterial SSU rRNA". It matches the Rfam family "Bacterial small subunit ribosomal RNA", at positions 8 to 521 of the family's 1533-position model. Lineage: Bacteria; Pseudomonadati; Pseudomonadota; Gammaproteobacteria; Pseudomonadales; Pseudomonadaceae. The record is from RNAcentral.
AGAGUUUGAUCCUGGCUCAGAUUGAACGCUAGGCGGCAGCCUAACACAUGCAAGUCGAGCGGAUGACGGGAGCUUGCUCCUUGAUUCAGCGGCGGACGGGUGAGUAAUGCCUAGGAAUCUGCCUGGUAGUGGGGGACAACGUUUCGAAAGGAACGCUAAUACCGCAUACGUCCUACGGGAGAAAGCAGGGGACCUUCGGGCCUUGCGCUAUCAGAUGAGCCUAGGUCGGAUUAGCUAGUUGGUGGGGUAAUGGCUCACCAAGGCGACGAUCCGUAACUGGUCUGAGAGGAUGAUCAGUCACACUGGAACUGAGACACGGUCCAGACUCCUACGGGAGGCAGCAGUGGGGAAUAUUGGACAAUGGGCGAAAGCCUGAUCCAGCCAUGCCGCGUGUGUGAAGAAGGUCUUCGGAUUGUAAAGCACUUUAAGUUGGGAGGAAGGGCAGUAAGUUAAUACCUUGCUGUUUUGACGUUACCGACAGAAUAAGCACCGGCUAACUCUGUGCCAGCAGCCGCGGU